RNAcentral lists this transfer RNA (72 nucleotides) under Fukomys damarensis (Damara mole-rat). It matches the Rfam family "tRNA". Rfam says of the family: Transfer RNA (tRNA) molecules are approximately 80 nucleotides in length. Their secondary structure includes four short double-helical elements and three loops (D, anti-codon, and T loops). Lineage: Eukaryota; Metazoa; Chordata; Mammalia; Rodentia; Bathyergidae. The record is from Rfam by way of RNAcentral.
AGGGGUAUAGCUCAGUGGUACAACACUUGGUUGGUGCACAUAAGGCCCUGGGUUCCAUCCCCAGUACCACCA